Molecule: RNA transcript, 2846 nt
Organism: Nannospalax galili (Upper Galilee mountains blind mole rat)
Lineage: Eukaryota; Metazoa; Chordata; Mammalia; Rodentia; Spalacidae
Gene: Sergef
Gene name: secretion regulating guanine nucleotide exchange factor
Exons: 12
Source: RefSeq, a predicted model, not a curated record
GCCCCUCCCGGAAGCGCCCUCCAAGCGAGUGCAUGGAGCGCCAGCCGAGCGCCCCGGAGUCUGUUCUCGCCUCGGCAGCGCUCUUCGCCUGGGGUGCAAAUAGCUAUGGGCAACUUGGCCUUGGUCAUAAGGAAGAUGUGCUGCUGCCCCAGCCACUGGCUGACUUCUGUAAUCCUGGGAGUAUCAAGAGCCUUACAGGAGGAGGGGGCCACUCUGCAGCUGUCACAGAUGGAGGAGGCCUUUUUGUUUGUGGCCUGAAUAAAGAUGGUCAGUUGGGGCUUGGUCACACAGAAGAUGUUCUGUGUUUCACUGUCUGCAAGCCUCUCCUGGGUUGUCCCAUCCGACAGGUGGCCUGUGGCUGGGAUUUUACCAUCAUGCUCACAGAAAAAGGCCAAGUUCUAUCAUGUGGAUCCAAUGCCUUUGGACAGUUAGGAGUUCCGAAUGGGCCUCGAAGAUGUGUGGUCCCCCAGGUUGUUGAGGUACUGAGAGAGCAAGUUGUUUGUGUGGCGGCUGGGCUGCGGCAUGCCUUAGCCACUACAGUGAGUGGCAGCGUGUUCCAGUGGGGGACUGGCCUGGCGUCAUCGGGACGACGUUUGUGUCCUGGACAGACUCUCCCAUUGUUUCUGACAGCAAAGGAACCAAGCCGAGUGACUGGCCUGGAGAGUUCUACAGCAGUAUGUGUUGUUGCUGGAUCCGACCACUCAGCCUCAUUGACAGAUACAGGAGAGCUGUACGUCUGGGGCUGUAACAAGCACGGGCAACUUGCUUCCCAGGCUUCUUUCUUACCUGUGCCCCAGAAAAUAGAAGCACACUGCUUUCAGGAUGAGAAGGUCACAGCUGUCUGGAGUGGCUGGACGCACCUGGUUGCUCAGACAGAAACUGGCAAUGUGUUUACCUGGGGCCGAGGAGACUAUGGUCAACUAGGGAGGAAGUUGGCAUCUCAUGAAGGCCAGAAGCUAGAGGAGUGGGAUUCAUCCCUCCCCUGCAGGAGGCCACAGAGCAGCAUGCCCUUGCCUCUGCGUUGCCUGACAGGAGCGGCUGAGGUUUCUUGUGGCUCAGAGCACAACUUGGCAGUAAUUGAUGGUGUGUGUUGCUCCUGGGGCUGGAAUGAACACGGCAUGUGUGGGGAUGGCACGGAAGCCAACGUCUGGGCUCCAAAGCCAGUGCAGGCUCUGUGGUCACCAUCAAGACUCCUUGUGGGCUGUGGGGCCGGUCAUUCCAUGGCCCUCUGUCAGCUGCCGACACACCCUGAGCAGGGCCGGGAUCCCAAAGUCACCUCCCCAUUUCUACAUGCCACAGAGGACACUGAACCUCAGGAGGCCAUGGACAAAGAGAAACUGGAAACAGACACAAUCAGCAGCUCCAACGCCAAGCCAGUCUGACAGGUCCAGAAAUGGGGGACUGUGACAGAACCUUUAGUAAAGUGGCUUUUCCCACCCAAAGUUGCCCCAGAGAAUCAUCUGUUGAGUGGUGAGGUUGACUCAAGAGGGGCCGCUUGCCCAGUGCUCGGGCUCAAGGAAGAGGACACCCUUUCUACUCAGUGGAUGCGAAUGAGAGGCUCUGCAGCCCCACCCUGCAAGAGACAGCUUCUUCCUCGGGGCCCAGCAAGGCUGUGGCUUAGAUGACUGCAGUAGUAGCCGGGGCCCAUGCUUGGCCUAGCCACAGCAGACCAGAGGCCCAGAACAGAAUGGAGACAGCGCCUGAAGGCAAUAAAAACCCAACUCCGUGCUUUGUCUCAAAAGUCAGCUUUUUAUUGCCAGGGCCCGGCCCGGGAGGGGAGGCCGUUGCGCUGAAGCAUCGUUGCUCUCUUUCCAGGAAAUGCUGCAGUGAGCGCUUGAGAUGUUGCAUUUUUUUUCAACUCAAGCAUGUGUUUUUCAAAAAUAUCAUCCUCCCCCCCGACACACACUAAUUUUAGAAUCAGAUCAAAGCCAAGCUACUGUCCUCUGUUUCUGUUGGGAAAAUACUAUAUUUAUUCAAGAUGCAGAAGCGUGUCUCUGCAAACCUCCGAUUGCUUCAGGAAAACAAAUCUGCUUUAGACUAGACAGAAACCAUGAUACAAAAUUUAUUUCAUGCUCGAAUCUCUUUGCAUAACAUUGGGCAUGCAGUUUUUACUCUGAAGUACUAAAUUGUGUACAAUGCCAAGUUGUGCCUUAGUAGAGGUGGAGGGGAGGCACCCCUCCUGUGGUCCUGAACUUGAGGUGCUCUACAUCCUGGUUUUAAAAUGACAUUGGAAAAUCCAUACGGUGCUGAUUAUGAACAAUUUGUUAUGAAACUUGGUCACACUGGAUCUACACACCGAUAAGAUGAGAGAAUCAACCUAAACUAGCUGCUGCCGGGGGUUCUUGGGGAGGCAUCCGCUGGGUCACAAGCAUGCCAGGCAGAGACGGAAGAAGGCAGCAGUACGAGUUUCCACAAUCCUAUUUGGAGCAAAGUUCUCAGUUUCCGCAUGAGAGAUGAGCUAUGAAGGCGAGGUCAAUAUGACCGAUGACUGACCAACUGCCCUUUUUGAAACCUUUCCUCUGGAUCUUGUAUACAAAAAGGGAAGCAAUCCAUUCCCUGGCCCCAUCCUUCCUCCCCCCUGCCCCACUCCCAGAAGUAUACAGGUUUCUACCGAGUGCCAUUACAGUUUGGCUCCAACCACGUGUGUAAAAGUUAAGAGGUCUGAAAGAAAAUGAAGGACUUUUGCUUUUUCCUUCUGUUCUUCGUGGUGGUCAGGGUAAUCAAUCAUACAGUUGCAGGGGGGUUGGUAGGUUUGGAUUAGCUGGGUUUUCUGUUUAACUUCAUGCAAGUCAUGCUAAAGAUCCCCUCCACCCCCCUCCCCAAAUAAAAGAUAACUUUUAAAAAAA